This 764-nucleotide long non-coding RNA is filed under the name Gallus gallus (chicken). Its description in RNAcentral is "long non-coding RNA NONGGAT009190". Lineage: Eukaryota; Metazoa; Chordata; Aves; Galliformes; Phasianidae. The record is from RNAcentral.
GGUCCCUGAGAUCCUCUCUCUGCUGCCUGAUGCUCACUGCGCUGAGCCCCACGACAGAGCAGCCUCGGUGGACUCCUGGUCCCAUUCACCCAGCUGUGGGUGUGCUGAAGUCUAAGGUUUGCAGACAGUUUUGCAUUUGUCAGAAGUGUGUUUCAGUCUGAAUCACAGCAAUACUCUUCUCUUCCACAGUUCUUGUCAACCAGUAAUUCUGAGAAAACCUGGCACUGUGACCCUUUGACCCCGGAAUUCACAUCUGCCCUGUGGUGAAGGCACCUCCUGGCCAUGGGCUCCAUGAUAGCCAUCCACUGUAAGCCCACCUGCAGGAAGAGCUCAGGAGCCACUUUGUGGACAACACCUGAGGAAUGUGCACACUCCUACUGCACAUGGCAAGGCAUCACUACCAGUAUUAACCAUGCGAAGUCAAUGUCAAUCCUGGAGCUCAGCUCAUGGCAUCUCUCCAGCACCACACUUCUCAUUCACAGCUUGGUGCUGGGAUCAUCCCACACCAGGUGAGGGCAGCUGCUUCCCUGCCAGCCCAGAGAGGCUUCCAGGGAGGGAUAGUGUCUCCAGGCACAAAGCAGGUGGCUGUGGACAGCAAGUUCACUGGGAUAUGGCAGAGCAGCUCAGCAUCACUUACCAGCUUCUUUCUUGGUGGCAGAAGACAGUGUGGCAAAAUAUUCUUGAAAAUUAAAGCACCAGUCAUUUCUGACAUUUAUUUUUUGUUCCUUCACGCUUAAUGUUAUUCAGAUACUUGAAACUGCAGU